AGUGAACGCCGGCGGUAGGCCUAACACAUGCAAGUCGAACGGCAGCACAGUAAGAGCUUGCUCUUACGGGUGGCGAGUGGCGGACGGGUGAGGAAUACAUCGGAAUCUACUUUUUCGUGGGGGAUAACGUAGGGAAACUUACGCUAAUACCGCAUACGACCUACGGGUGAAAGCAGGGGAUCUUCGGACCUUGCGCGAUUGAAUGAGCCGAUGUCGGAUUAGCUAGUUGGCGGGGUAAAGGCCCACCAAGGCGACGAUCCGUAGCUGGUCUGAGAGGAUGAUCAGCCACACUGGAACUGAGACACGGUCCAGACUCCUACGGGAGGCAGCAGUGGGGAAUAUUGGAGAAUGGGCGCAAGCCUGAUCCAGCCAUACCGCGUGGGUGAAGAAGGCCUUCGGGUUGUAAAGCCCUUUUGUUGGGAAAGAAAAGCAGCAGGUUAAUACCCCGCUGUUCUGACGGUACCCAAAGAAUAAGCACCGGCUAACUUCGUG
This 492-nucleotide ribosomal RNA is filed under the name uncultured bacterium. RNAcentral describes it as "partial 16S ribosomal RNA". It matches the Rfam family "Bacterial small subunit ribosomal RNA", at positions 29 to 507 of the family's 1533-position model. The record is from RNAcentral.